Molecule: ribosomal RNA, 253 nt
Filed under: uncultured bacterium
Lineage: Bacteria
Description: partial 16S ribosomal RNA
Rfam family: Bacterial small subunit ribosomal RNA
Source: RNAcentral
UACGUAGGUGGCAAGCGUUGUCCGGAUUUACUGGGCGUAAAGAGCGCGCAGGCGGUCGGAUCAGUCGAAUGUGAAAGCCCCCGGCUCAACUGGGGAGGGUCAUUCGAUACUGUCCGACUCGAAGGCAGGAGAGGGAAGCGGAAUUCCCGGUGUAGUGGUGAAAUGCGUAGAUAUCGGGAGGAACACCAGUGGCGAAGGCGGCUUUCUGGCCUGUUCUUGACGCUGAGGCGCGAAAGCUAGGGGAGCAAACAGG